RNAcentral lists this long non-coding RNA (378 nucleotides) under Elaeis guineensis (African oil palm). RNAcentral describes it as "long non-coding RNA (EGUI_LNC031620)". Lineage: Eukaryota; Viridiplantae; Streptophyta; Magnoliopsida; Arecales; Arecaceae. The record is from RNAcentral.
GCAGGGAGACUUCGCCCGGACUCCUACGGGAGCCGGAUCUCGUCCCCGACUCCGGCUGCAGGGAGACUCCACCCAGACUCCUACGCGAGCCGGACUCCGCCCCCAACUUCAAUUGCAGGUAGACUUCGCCCAGACUCCUACGGGAGCCGGACUUCAUCCCUGAGUUCAACUGCUGAAAGACUUCGUCCGGACUCCCAUGGGAGCCAAACUUUGCCCCCGACUUUGAUCGCAGGUAGACUCCGUCCGGACUCCUACGGGAGCCGGACUUCAUCCCCGACUUCAACCGCAAGAGGACUUCGCCCAGACUCCUACGGAAGCUAGACUUCGUCCCCAACUUCGGCUGCAGGAAGACUUCGUCUGGACUCCUACAGGAGCCGG